AAACGGUUAAAAGAGGGAAAGCAGGAAUUGAAAGUGGAAUUUAGCCCCCCACCGGAAGAUGUGCUUACACCGGAAGAGGCAGAGCGUGUGGUCAAACGGCGCGGCGCGUGCAGAACAGAAUGGCCGCGUGUCGCUUCCGGGACAAACAAAAAGACCGAGCCCAAACUUUGCAGAAGGAGUGUCAUCGACUAGAAAGCAUUCAGACAGAGUUGAGGUACGAACUGGCGCAGGUACGAAAGGAAAGGGACGAAUACCGCCAUGCGUUUGAUCAACACAAGGCCGUCUGCCCGCUACAGUUUCCCGCGCUUUUCAUCGCGUCAAAUUCGAACUCUUGACAACAUGUGAACACUGAA
Mya arenaria is the source of this 353-nucleotide long non-coding RNA. RefSeq lists it as uncharacterized. The record is from RefSeq and is a predicted model, not a curated record. Lineage: Eukaryota; Metazoa; Mollusca; Bivalvia; Myida; Myidae. The transcript is spliced from 3 exons.